Molecule: RNA transcript, 8114 nt
Organism: Mus musculus (house mouse)
Lineage: Eukaryota; Metazoa; Chordata; Mammalia; Rodentia; Muridae
Gene: Cc2d1b
Gene name: coiled-coil and C2 domain containing 1B
Exons: 25
Source: RefSeq, marked provisional
UGCGCACGGCGACCCGCCGGCUGUGGUGUCACGUGCCGGGCGCCUGCCACCGCCUCCUGGGCGGGAGCUUCCUGUGGCUGUCUCCGCCGCGGCCGCCCGGGGGCCGCGGAAAGCUAGGCGGUUCCGGGCUCGAGAAGGCCCGGUUUUGGUUCGGAUCCGCCGCGAGGUAUCUAGCCUGCCAAGAUGCCAGGGCCAAGACCUCGGAAGGGCCCUAAGACCAGUGGCCAGGGUGCUGAGACUGCCAAGCAGCUGGGGCUUUUUGUGGAGUUCAACCCUGAGGACAUGCUCCUGGGGGUGGAUGAGACUGAAGAUGAUGGAGACCUGGAGGCUGAGUUACUGGCACUCACAGGGGAAACAGCGAGCAGGAGCAGGAAGCCAGCACCCAAGGGGCAGGCUCCACUGCCCAUGGCCCACAUUGAGAAGCUGGCAGCAGACUGUAUGCGAGAUGUGGAGGAGGAUGAAGAAGAGGAAGGGCUGGAGGACGAUGCAGACCUUCUGACAGAGCUGCAGGAGGUCCUGGGUGAGGAUGAAGAAGCGGGUCUGCUGGACGGCAGUGAGGCAGCAAGUCCAGACCUCUGUGAGGAGAAGACUUGGGACAACACUGAACUACCUGUAGAGCAGGCAGCCUGCCAACAGGCAGUACCUGCUGCAGCUCAGGCUGGAGGGCCUCGGGGGCUGCAGGCUUUGCUGGAGGAACGGAUCCGUAACUACCGGGAGGCCGCAGCCAGUGCCAAGGAGGCUGGUGAAGCUGCCAAAGCCCGGCGCUGUGAGCGAGGCCUAAAGACUCUGCAGUCCCAGCUUGCCACUGUGAGGAAAGGCGGGAAGAUCUGUGAGGAUGAGAUCCCACCUCCAGUAGCCUUGGGCAAAAGGCCCCCAGCCCCCCAGGAAAGAGCCAUCAAGAACCCUGAGAUAGACUCUCCAGGUCCCUGUGCCAUGGAGCCAGGCAACCUUUCCCAGCCCGAGUCCAGCCUCCCUGCCAUUGCUCCCUUGCCUGAUUCAGACCCAGACCCACAAGCCCUGCUGUUAGCCCGACAGAGAGAGUACAAGGCGGCUGCUCUCGAUGCCAAGCGGGCUGGAGAUCUAGACCGUGCUCGGGAGCUCAUGAGGAUCGGGAAGAGAUUUGGUACUGUCCUAGAGGCCCUGGAAAAGGGUCAGCCUGUGGACCUGAGUGGCAUGCCCCCAGCACCUGCGGAUCUGAAGGCCCUCCCCCAGGCUUCUAAGGCCUCCUCAGCAACCCAAGGCCUGUCCCCAGCAGUAGAGCAAAUGCAGCCAGUGAUGGCCUCUGACCUCCCAGCCACCCCAGUGGCCCCUGCGGAGCCAACAACAGUGCUGGAUGCUUUACAGCAAAGGCUGAACAAGUAUCGUGAGGCAGGCAUCCAGGCCCGGGCCAAUGGGGAUGAGCGCAAGGCCAGGAUGCACGAUCGCAUUGCCAAGCAAUAUCAGGAUGCUGUUCGAGCUCAUCAGGCAGGACAGAAAGUUGACUUUGCCGAGUUACCUGUUCCUCCAGGAUUUCCUCCCAUCCCUGGCCUGGAGCCCAGGAAAGGUAGUGAGCAGGAUUCAGUGGCAGCAACUUUAGCAACUGCCCAAAAACUGGCCUCAGAAGAUGCAGCCCUGGUAGAUGACGACGAGGAGAGUGACACUCCAGCACAGGCCCCAUUGGCCAAGAAGCCAGCGCAGACUCUGGUCUCUCCAUCCCAUCUUCUGACUGAGCCCAAGGCUUCAAGUUCUAAGGAGUCACUGAGUCCAUCUGUUCGGGAGCAGGUGACACUGCUGGAGGCUCGGAAACUGCAAUACCAGCGAGCAGCUCUGCAAGCCAAGCGCAGGCAGGAUCUUGAGCAGGCCAAAUCCCACUUACGAGUAGCUAAAAGUCUUGAGGCUCAGAUCAUCCAGGCCCGAGCUGGUCAACCCAUUGAUCUCUCCAAGGUAACAUGGCAGGGCCAGUCUAGUAGAAACAGUGCCAGGGAUAGAAUGGGAGGCAGUGAGUGUCAUUGGAGGGGCCUUAUGAUCUGGGCAGGUGCCUUCACCGUUGACAGAUGAAGAGGGGGACUUCAUCCUCAUUCACCAUGAGGAUCUGCGACUCUCCCAGAAGGCUGAGGAGGUGUAUGCCCAGCUACAGAAAAUGCUCCAGGAGCAGCAAGCGAAGUGCCUGCUAUUCUCCAAGCAGUACAUGCACCAGGGAAAUGUGGCUGAGACCACUCGGUUUGAGAGGCUUGCGGAGGACCGAAAGAAACAGCUUGAGAUCCUGCAGCUAGCCCAAGCCCAGGGCCUUGACCCUCCUAGUCAUCACUUUGAGCUGAAGACAUUCCAGACUGUGAGGAUCUUCUCAGAACUCAACAGCACAGAAAUGCAUCUGAUCAUCGUGCGGGGAAUGAACCUCCCAGCCCCGCCAGGAGUGACUCCGGAUGACUUGGAUGCUUUUGUACGGUUUGAGUUUCACUACCCUAACUCGGUGAGGUGCUGAUAGGGUUGGGCGUCUCUGAACUGCAGUGUUGUCUAAUUUGUCUCCAUCUUUGAUAGGCACUGCCACAGGGAGGGGCUGAAGACCCUCUGGCCCAUUUCCUGCUUGAGUUGCUUUCUGCACUUUUGACUCAGCCAAAGUGUUGUGCUUAAACACAUGGUUUUUGAGCUCUCAACUUCUCUCAUCUCUCUGCUAUAGGACCAGGCUCAAAAAAGCAAAACAGCUGUGGUAAAAAAUACCAAUUCUCCAGAAUUUGAACAAGUUUUCAAGCUAAACAUCAAUCGAAACCACCGAGGCUUUAGGAGAGUGAUCCAGAGCAAAGGAAUCAAAUUUGAGAUCUUCCACAAAGGAUCCUUUUUUAGAAGUGACAAGCUGGUUGGCACAGCACACUUGAAAUUGGAAAGGCUGGAGAAGGAGUGUGAGAUCAGAGAGAUCAUGGAGGUUUUGGAUGGCAGAAAGCCCACUGGGGGGAAGCUGGAGGUGAAGGUGAGGCUUCGGGAGCCUCUGAGCAGCCAGGACGUGCAGACGGUCACUGAGAACUGGCUGGUCCUGGAGCCUCGGGGCCUGUGAAGAGGUGGACAUCCUUGGUAACAGCUCACUGACCCAGCUGUGCCGGCUCAAGAGCCGUUGUACAUCAGAGAUGCUGCUACACACGCACCAAAGACCUGAUAACUAACAGUGGCCUGGGCUUUCCUCCUGCUGCCUCUCCUGGACCUUCGUGGAAGCAGGCCUCCCACCCUCCCUGUGGGCGAAGACAAGGAUACCCCACUGCUCUGUGCCACAGAGUCCCGUAACCGCUGCAUAGUAAUUGCGUACCGCUUAACCCAGCCCCCAUUUGCACCAUUUCUGGAUGUGCCUUUCAAAGAUGUAACUGUAGGGAUGGGAGAACUCGAGGGUGAUCGGAACAUCCCGUGUGGGGAGGGACAGGAUUCCGUGACUCCAGCUGGCCAGCGGCAGACUGUCCCGCUCAGCUGUUUUCCCUCUGCCUGUGCCUUUGUUCCUGACAGCUGCUGCACUAGCCUUUCUGCUUCCCAGAGGACUCGGGAACAGGAACGUUACUUUGGUACUAUUGGUGGGAAGUAAGGGAAGGUUCUCUUUGGUUUGGUCCAUGUACCUAAGGUGAAAGACUGUUAAUUGGGGAGAAAAAAAGGAAAAAAGAAAAAGAAAAACUAUCAGUUUUAUGUAGCCAUUUUUAUUUUAAAACUAGAUCUAAUUCACUGUAGGGACUUUAUACUCUGAACAGUGUGAAUUACCUAGAAAAGUCUUCAAAUGCCCUGCUCUCUGUCACUUUAUCUAUUUAUGUACUUAUUUAUUUUGAGACAGGGUUUCUCUAUGUAACAGCCCUGGCAGUCCUGAAACUCUUUGUAGACCAGGCUGGCCUCAAAUUAAGAGAUCCAUCUAUCUGUCUUCUGAGUGCUGGGACUAAAGGCGUGUGCAACCACACCCAGCUUCCCUGUCACUUUAAAAGCAGAAGCAGUGAUCCACAGAGCCACUGCACCUGUGCAUUCUUCUUCUGAGACGGCAUGUCAUGGAGCUGAUCACCUGGCUAAUCCCUGGCUGGCCACUCUGGCCAAUCUUAGCUUUUGUAGUAAAUGCAGGGAAAUGAGGGGGCAGAUCGUUGCAACAAUUAAUAGUCACAAAUGCAUUAUUUUAGAUUUUUAAAAAAUCAGCAUCCCAACUCUUUCCCAUUUUAAAGCACUAAGUUCAGCAAAGUAUCCCUCCAGAUUUACUCUUUACUCUGUAUAUUUGGUUGUAGGAGGCAGGGUCUCACUCUAUAUAGCAGUCCACCUGCCUCAGCCUUCCUAGUGUUGGGAUUACAGGCCUGAGCAUGUGCCAGCCACCAGCCUGGCUUCCUCAAGGUGACUUGUGAAGGCUCUGCGUGAAGUAAACACUCAGCUGCUGGUCACUACACUGCUGCAGAAGCAGCUCAGGGCUGAGCUUCUCCCACUUCACGUAGGAGAUCCCAGGGCUGGAGCUUGUCCAACUGUUAGUGCUUAACAAGGCAGAAACUGCACACAAGUGAUGCCCCAGAACACACUGGCCAAUCUUAGCCACCAUGAGCUCGCAAUCUCUCCUAUGUAAGAGAUUUAACAAUGAUAUUCACAUGAUCAAGCAGUAAUUUGCAAUGAAAGGGUCUCUGCCUUCGUUAAGGGACCUAGAGCAGAGAGGGAGGACUUGAAGAGGUGUUGGUCCCCUGUAUCUUCCUUACAGUCUGGCCUGACUCUUGAUGAUCCCCCAUUGUGCUCCUCUGAUGGAAAUGUCUUAGUUUUCUUUGACUUCAAGGAUCUCCCUUUACAACUUGGUCCCUUCCAGUCCACUGCAUUGUUCUGCUUACUGAAAACAACCUCAGGCAGAGGGAGGCCAACAAAGCCACCCACUGGACAUGGAGACAAUCUUAAAAGGUCUUUGUUGUAGCCAAGGAAUGCAUGGCUAGGGGGAGGGGCCUGCAUAAAGCCUCAUUUUCUAAGACUUGAUCAACCACAGUCACCAAACAUUCACAGAUAGAACCAGGCACAAUGAAAAUCCUUUUUUAAAUAUUGCACUGCAUGUCCUUUCUUUCGUUCUUCCUUUUUUUUUUUUUUUUUUUUUUUGAUUUUUUUUCGGUUUUUUGAGACAGGGUUUCUCUGUGUAGCCUUGGCUGUCCUGGAACUCACUCUGUAGACCAGGCUGGCCUCAAAAUCAGAAAUCCGCCUGCCUCUGCCUCCCAAGUGCUGGGAUUAAAGGUGUGCGCCACCACUGCCCGGCUAUUGCAUGUCCUUUUGAAUUACUGAACUAAACAAUACAUACUUUAUUUUAAAGUCAGGAAAUAGCUUUGUGGCUUUUCCCUUCUGUAGCACCACUUUAAGACCUGUGUGGCCCCUCUCCUAGUUAUUUAGGCUUUUCCCCCACAGGUUUGUAGCAUCCCCUUAAAAGAUCUUUGCACUAAGUGAGGUCAGCUGUUGUGAGUAUAAAACAAACCAGCUGGGCUGGGGCUGGCAGGCAGGAAGCCUGUACCUGGUGUAGUUCUAGUUCUGUCCCUCUCUGGCCUCUAAGAUGGACGUCAGCAGUCUUCUUAGUCCUACGAAUAAGACUUAAAAACCCCAUGCCUGUUAUUUAAUACAAACAGUUAAUCCCAGACUCAAUGCUGAGCAGAUUACUUACUAGAAAUACAUUAAACUUGGGGGCUGGAGAGAUGACUCAGCAGUUAGAGCUCUUCCAGAGGUCCUGAGUUCAAUUCCCAGCAACCACAUGGUGGCUCACAACCAUCUCUAAUGGGAUCCGAUGCCCUCUAUUGGUGUAGUUGAAGAGAGGAACAGUGUACUCACAUAAAUUAAUUUUAAAAAAGAGAAAUACAUUAAAUGCCUAAUUAUCUUUCAGAUGGCCAUAGAGAAAUCUAAUUGGAAUUUGGGGUACCCUAGCAGGACCCAGUGUAGAUGGAGAAGACAGAGACUGGAACUUAAACAAUCUCAGCAUUCUACUACCUUGAGUAUGGGAGUAGCAUAUUGCUAUAAUCCCAGCACUUGGAAGGCCGAGGCAGGAGCGUUGGGAAUUGAAGGUCUUCUUUGACUAUUCUGAGUUCGAGGUCAGCCUGGGCUACAUGAGAGCCCACCUCAAAACACCAGGAAAUACAUUAUACAAUAUAUGCUUACAAAUGAAUUUGGUAAGCAUACAAUAGUUUUUAAAUACACCAGUGCAAUUGUGCUCUUCAGUGUAGAUGCUCUGUAUUUAUCUUUUAGGGUUAAAUCUAGAAAACCUGGCCUAAUUAGGAAUGUGGCGUGUAAGCAUUUCACCUUGUAAAUUUCAGUGCACAUUAUAUAAAACCAGAGCUCAAAAGAGAAGAAAGUGAGUAUCUUUGGUGACUUAAUUUCCCAGGAUGAUCUUACUAUACAUAAAGGAUAUCUAUAAGCUAAGACUGGACCUGUCUGUAUGGCUCCAGAGUUUGUUCCUUUAUGGGAAGAUUAAAAACCUUACAUGUCCUAGAAGAUCCAUGUCCAAGGCAAGGUACAGUUGGCUGGGCAGGAGGACUGGGCAGCUGCUGCACAGGUGCCCACCGUCGGAGGUCUAUUCAGACUACGCUCAAAAUUAACACUACUGUGCCUCUCAGGCGCUUCCUGCUGUAGGUCUGCAGAUGGCUCUAGACCUCUGUUCUUACAAGUUAGUGCUGUGCAGUGUUCAAGGGCACUUCUGAGGUUUUGUACCAAUUGUAGAGAAAGGUCCAGAUCCUGGGUCUCUGACUUUCAUCAGCACCUUUGAAGAGUAGGUGCACAGUGUACCCCUCACCCACAGGAUGGACACACAUUCUCCAAGGGCCUUGGGAGAGAGGUGGUGGCAGCCUACCACUGUCCCACAGGCCUGCAUCUGAACCCAGGGGCGUUGUGAAUAAACUGCUUUCCCUGCAGAGGGACUAAAUCCUGUGUGAGCCCGGCCUCCACUGACACCAGUAUCAGCUGCCCUCAAGCAGGAUAUUAUAAACUAGAGAAAUGCAUUUGGCCUGUGAUCAAAAUAAAUUUAACAAAGAAAAUCAAGAGUGUACAAAGUUGAGUGUAAUGGCACACAACUUUAAUCCCAGCGCUUGGGAGGCAGAGGCAGGCAGAUCUCUGAGCUCCAGGCCAGCCAGUCAGUAUCACAUAUAUCUUCGGUGAACCAGAUCUUUGUUUCCUGUACUCCAGUUAAAGGGCUGCCUGGAGAUAAAGUGAGCAGGGUAAGUGCAAGAUUAGCCUGGGGCUUCUUGUUAGGCGACACAGGAAGGAUUAAACCUAAGUAUACCUUGAAAAGGAUGCAGGAGCCAGCUUGAAGGUGUUCAAAUUAACCAAAGAAGACAUCACCCGAGUACAAGACUAAGACCGUAGAAGUCCACAGGACCAACAAGAAAACUCCAUGAAUAAAGGACAAAGGAAGGAGGGGCUUAUUUGUUUUGAGUCUAUUAAAUCCAGCUCAUAAAGAAAGGGCCAUGCUGAAACUAGAAAGUCAUUUUACAGCUGUCAUAGUGAAAGAGCAGUGCAGGCAAGAAAACAUCAGUGGUGCUAAACCGAAGGGGAAUUUUGAGGAGCAAGAUCUUUGCAUAGAUUGAAAAGUUCUGCAUAUAUUAGUUAUUACUAAAAGGGUAAAUACAUAGUUGGGAAACUGGACAUGGUGUACUGGUGAUAAUGAGCUUUGCCACUGUCUCUGAAAGGCAGAUGGAUAUCAAGUGUUUCUGGCCAAUAAUCCAAACUCAAAUGAGGUAUUUUCUACUAAAACCAAACAAAAAUCCAGGAUGUGAGGGCCCAAAAAAAAAAAAAAAAAUUCCAUGCCACAAAGAGAUAAAGACAAGCUUAAAGCUAUGUGCAGCGUCUGAUACUAAACUGGAAAGUUCUCUGUUGAAGAAAGGUUCCCAAAGGUUCUGGGCAGGUAUGAGGUUAGAGCCUCCAGACACUGUGACUUGACUUAAGGAUGAGGGGCUGUACUGUAUGCACCUUAAUCUGAAAUACCUCAGUUUAAUAGAGGAGGGGAAGACAAGCACUGACGAACCAAAGGGGCAAAGUGCUAGUGUGUGAGCGUGUGCGUCCGUGUGUGUGUGUGUAUGCGUCCCUGUGAGCGUGUGUCCGUGGGGCUGUAGAAAAGACGCCUUGUUUUUUUUUUUCAUGUACAACUUUCCUGGAGUUUAAGAGAUUUCUUAGUAAAAUGUUCUUUAAAAAUA